This 497-nucleotide ribosomal RNA is filed under the name uncultured bacterium. RNAcentral's name for it is "partial 16S ribosomal RNA". It matches the Rfam family "Bacterial small subunit ribosomal RNA", at positions 28 to 507 of the family's 1533-position model. The record is from RNAcentral.
GAUGAACGCUGGCGGCGUGCCUAAUACAUGCAAGUCGAGCGAACAGACGAGGAGCUUGCUCCUCUGACGUUAGCGUCGGACGGGUGAGUAACACGUGGAUAACCUACCUAUAAGACUGGGAUAACUUCGGGAAACCGGAGCUAAUACCGGAUAAUAUAUUGAACCGCAUGGUUCAAUAGUGAACGACGGUUUUGCUGUCCCUUAUAGAUGGCUCCGCGCCGCAUUAGCUAGUUGGUAAGGUAACGGCUUACCAAGGCAACGAUGCGUAGCCGACCUGAGAGGGUGAUCGGCCACACUGGAACUGAGGCACGGUCCAGACUCCUACGGGAGGCAGCAGUAGGGAAUCUUCCGCAAUGGGCGAAAGCUUGACGGAGCAACGCCGCGUGAGUGAUGAAGGUCUUCGGAUCGUAAAACUCUGUUAUUAGGGAAGAACAAAUGUGUAAGUAACUAUGCACGUCUUGAGGGUACCUAAUCAGAAAGCCACGGCUAACUACGUG